Cryptotermes secundus is the source of this 250-nucleotide long non-coding RNA. RefSeq lists it as uncharacterized. The record is from RefSeq and is a predicted model, not a curated record. NCBI's taxonomy places the organism in Eukaryota, Metazoa, Arthropoda, Insecta, Blattodea, Kalotermitidae. The transcript has 3 exons.
CAGAAUUUCAGUUGCUUCUGUGAUCUAUGACGCAAGUUAAUGUUAAGCGAGAAACUCAUCGUUUCCGGUAGGUCCGGAAAUUUUGUUGUAAACCUGAGCAGAAGCUUCUAAUUCUAAAAACACUUGUAACGAAGAAAUUUUGCAGACAUUUUGCCAUACUAUUCCCCGACUAUGACGGAAGGAGCUACCAAAUUGAAUCAAGUCUCCGAACACGUAGCGGUCUUGCGACGGACUGAUAACUCGUCCGAGG